This is a long non-coding RNA of Equus asinus (donkey), 2871 nucleotides long. The record is from Ensembl. NCBI's taxonomy places the organism in Eukaryota, Metazoa, Chordata, Mammalia, Perissodactyla, Equidae.
CGACAAUUAACAACCUUCAGGGGCCAUCCCUCUGGUCCCUGUUACUUGGGCAGCCUGAUUUUAUACCCCAGAAUUUCUGACAGGAGAAUUGGCACUCUCAGAUCAAACCUCUGCUUUUCUGAGAAUGGGAUCCAGCUGACUGGAACAUCCACGCAGUCCUCAUUCAAGCUGCACAAUGGGGCUGGCUUAGAGGUUUGUUGGGAAUGGAGGAGGGGCACUUAUAGCCUGACAUGGCAGAGCGAUUAGGAUAAAACCCAACACUGGGUACCCUUCUUAAGCCCUUGACCCUCCCCGCCACCCGGGAGCUCCCAUUGGUCAGACCUGCCCCUGAGUGCCUGCCCCAACCCUUCUUGAGCCCCCUCUUUCAUCUCCCCUGUUCUCCACAUCUGCAGACUCCUCACCCCUUCUCUCAUCUUCUGUGGCAGAACCGUCAGCCCCACCUUUGUCUUGCAAGACUUUAACGCCAGGUGCUGGGAUCUAUGUUUCCCCGUCCAAGUGACCCAUUUAGGUAUUCAAACAACAGCAAGAAAAAUCAUUGAGAUCCUCACCCUAAGAGGAAUUAUGCUGCCAGCUUCAUUAUGAUGACAUCAAUAGCUAACCUUUUGAGCACAUAGUGUAUGUCCAGGACCGGACUGAGCACUUUACGUUGACUGAGCAUGUGGGAAAGCUCAUGUUCCUGACUCGGUUUCUUCAUUUAUGAAGAAGGAAAGCAGAGAUAAUUGGUCAGAACCAAGAGGGUAUCUGCUCAAAUUUAAAGUUAUGUAUUGUGUGCCCUCGAACAGGGAGAUUGUACAUCCAUUUAACUGAAGAUUAAUCUGUAAUACAUUCUUAAUUGCAAGAAUAUACAUUUUUCAGGCAGCCCGUUAGAUAACACUGAGUUUCAUGAUUAUUCAACACAGUACAUUUAAAUCUGAAGUCAGAAUGUAAAAUAUGACAUUUGGGAAGAUGUACGAGGUUGUACAGGGAGAUUUGGAAUUCAUAAAGCCAUGAAGUGAUUUAUAUUUGUCAGACAUGGAACAUUUUUUAACUAAUCUUCAUAAAAACAAAAUGUGAAUCAAUAAAAGUUAUCCCAGACAUUCUAGGCCUUUGUGUCUAUGGGAGGCAGGGGCUGGGGGAAGGGAUGGGGAGGAGACUUUCUAAAUUUAGAAAAGAAAGUGGUAACUGAGUACCUGAGAAAGCUUUCUAUCACACCUCAUCUGUCUCCUUCCUCCUUCAGUGACUCAGUUUAGCAGUGAAUGAAAGAGACCAAACAGAUGACCAAACGCAGCAUUGACUGCACUUUCGUUUGUGGGUCCUAGCUCCAUCACUUCCUGUUGGUGGCCGUGGCAGAUGACUUAAACCAUUCACGAGAUAAGAAUAACAGGAGUCCUCUCCAGGUGUUAUUCUGGGGAGUGAAGGAGGCAGUGCAAUUAAGGCCCCGGUACAGUGAGCAGCACACAGGAAACAGUCAAACAUUGCGAUAUUACUCGAUUUCCUUUGAGAUCGUUUUUCCCUUGGGGCUGUUCACGUGGUCCCCGAUAGUCUGGCUGUGUGGCUGCCAGGGGUGGGGGCGGGGGCGUUCGCUCAGAGAUCCUGCCCGGGAAGCCACACCCCAAACACCCCCUCCCUGUGCUCACCAGGGCCCUGAACGCUUUAGCAGGAACACAACCUCUCCCUCCUCUGGUGCUUACAGAGGCGCAGCCCUUCAGAGUCUGCGCUGAGUCUAAACAGGACUUAAAGAAAGAGCAGUUUCUGACGCUGAAAAGCCAGCGGCCAGGUGUUUCCUGGCAGCAAGGGCAAAGGCAGGAAGACAGAGGGAAAAGCGAACAGCCCCACACCCGACGGUCCCGGAACAAACCUGAGCCUCCUCAGUUUCACCAAGACCUGUGCACUUCAGCGAUUCCAUCCAUCCGAAGCUUUGGAUAAAGGACAGGAAGGAAGGGCAGCCACAGGGCCUUUGCAUCCGCCAGGGCUGCAGAUCUCCCAAGCAACCUGCGGGGCCUCACCAACCAUGGCCCCAGCUAUAGCCCAAUCCAGGGCCACGGCCGUCAUGCCCAUCACCUGGGUCCUCGCGGUGACCAUGCUCACCUGCUCUUCUCCUUGGCCUCCGAGGCUGAGUCCUUUAUGGUAACAGGAAGAGAGCUGGGAAGGCCUUGAAGACUCAACUAAAUGGCUGGAGUACAGGGCUGCUUUCUCACCGAAACUGCCUCGGGUCGCAGCAGGUAAGGCACAAAGCCAACAGUAAAAACUGUGUAGGAUGAGAUGAUGAGGAGGCCAGUUCUCCACGGAACACUGUGAAUUCUGGCUCAGUAUGUUGCAUGCACCGUGCAGCCAGCCUCCUGCAGACCCCAGAUCCUGAGUCACUCUGUGACCCCUCCCUGGAGCAGAGGUCACUCUGGAGACAGGUGGGACUGAGCUGCUGUUGAUGCUCACAGCUGAGCUGGACCAGGGAUGGACGGAGUCUGGUGAGGGACCAUCACACUGAGAGCUCUGUGUGCUGCUAGCUAAGAGACUGGGAGAGGAGGAAAUGAAGGAUGUUUGCCUGCAGCCCUCCCCAAGGCUACAGGUGUCAGGAUGCAGGCCCUUCUCUUCCAUCAGAGCUCCCACCAGGUCCUUUAGGCCCUCCCAUCAGAAGGAGAAUCAGGACCUGAGUAAAGGGAGCAGAUUGAUUCAUUACUCACUCUAGUCCUGAUCUUACAUGGUUGGUACUAGAGACUGGGGCUGACUGUGAUUAGGUAAAGGGAGGAAGAGAUUGGGACAAGCUGGUGGACCCAGGGAGGGGGUGAUGGAUGGGGGGAAAUACAUGACACUCAGCGAGGGUGGGGCUCAAGAUGGGGAGUGACUGGGGAGCUGACCCAGGAGACCUGACGCAGGAUUUCCUGAGCCACUUGG